UGCAAAUGACCAAAUGUUUACAGCCCCUAGACAAAACCAAAAAUAAAGGGAUGCAGAGCUAUCACAUAAAAGGGUAGCAAGUCAGAAUUUGGAGGGCUCUAUGACAUUAGAGCAAAUUCUGCUGCAGCAUGUAUCUUUCCUAAUUCAACUGCAAUCAACCCACAACCAGAGGUAGAUACAGAUUGUGGUCCAUAACUUACAGCAAAAUGCCCCUUUUGUACAUUAAAUUCUAAAUUAUCCUAAUACAUACUAUAAAGUACAUUAAAGUAAAAUGGUGACAGACUGAAUAGUGAAUGCAUCCUUCAGGCAUGAGAGAAAGAAAUGUCUCAGGGAAAAGUAUCUGAAUGGAUUUUGGAGGGAGCAGUAAAACUGACAGCUGAUAAACCACAUAUAUUACCACAGUGGGAAAAGAAAGGAGGAAGAACAAUAUUCAACUGCAGCUUUAAUAUUGAAAGUCAUGUGAACUGAAAAUAUUUCAUGGUUAAUGAAAUGUGUAGUCAAGAAUUAAAUCUUUAAUAGUGGAAUAAGGAAAAGAAAUAAUGCGUAGCAAACUGUGUAUUUCCAACGUGGAAUUUAUGAAAGUUUGGAGACCUGAUAGUAACAUUCAACUUGAGAACACUAGGUGAUCAAAGGUGGAUCCAAACAAAUGCAUUAGCCAAGUUCAGUGUCUUACUCUUCCCGUGCUGUUGAUGACAGACCAUAAAGCCAUCUCAGAAGUAUGGCACAGCUCACAGUAGCCUGAUUUGAAACCCUAAGCUUCAUAAGGGCUAAGACUGAAUCAAUAAAUCGAUCACCCCCUUCUGGUUUCUUUGUACACUCACAUACCUUGCUACAAAUAAAGAUCUAGUAUGGGAGAAAA
Pseudopipra pipra is the source of this 859-nucleotide long non-coding RNA. RefSeq lists it as uncharacterized. Lineage: Eukaryota; Metazoa; Chordata; Aves; Passeriformes; Pipridae. The transcript has 5 exons. The record is from RefSeq and is a predicted model, not a curated record.